GGCACCACAAGAACGCGUGGAGCAUGUGGCUUAAUUUGACUCAACGCGGGAAAUCUUACCGGGUCCGGACACACUGAGGAUUGACAGGCAAUAUAUGUGACUCUUCGGAGUUUGCAUUGUUAAAUAUGCUAGUCCUUUCAUGAUUAUGUGAUAGGUGGUGCAUGGCCGUUCUUAGUUCGUGGAGUGAUCUGUCUGCUUAAUUGCGUUUCAAAUUACUUAUAAGGUAGCAAUACGCGAUGAAGCUUUCAAUAGUCCUCACGGAUUCACUUGAGUCUCUCGCUUCGCUAUCCUUUCGAAUGCAACGAACGUGACCGCAACCUCUUGUUGCCUUCGUUUAACAUCCUGCAGCUCGCUGUGGGUACUGAGGGCUUCACUCGGUGACUUUGGGCUGAGCAAUCGGUCUUUUGAUCUGAGUAAACUAGAGGGACCGCUGUCAACUUCUUAAACCAGAGGAAGGUUGCGGCAAUAACAGGUCUGUGAUGCCCUUAGAUGUUCCGGGCUGCACACGUGCUACAAUGAUCGUAGCAGUGAGCAUCUUAUUUGAUUUACUUAACACCGCAUACGUGAGUUCCAACUAGCUUAGCAAUAAGUCAAGUAGUUCUCUACGCAGCGGUAACAGCCUGCUUCGAGAGCAAGUGGGUAAUCAAUUAGAAGUAACGAUUUCUUCGCAUUAGCACACUUAAUAUAAGGCGUUGACGCUCAUGAUUCGGCUCUCACGAGUUGUUUCAUUGCACGUGUUGAUGUGCGGGUUCGAUUCCUGCUUUACCUUAUGUGCAAUUGUCAAUUCAUGGUGGGGACAGACCAUUGUUAAUUGUUGGUCUCGGUC
This 826-nucleotide ribosomal RNA is filed under the name Globigerinita uvula. Its description in RNAcentral is "bacterial SSU rRNA". It matches the Rfam family "Eukaryotic small subunit ribosomal RNA", at positions 1163 to 1604 of the family's 1831-position model. The record is from RNAcentral. Lineage: Eukaryota; Foraminifera; Rotaliida; Globigerinitidae.